GACGAACGCUGGCGGCGUGCUUAACACAUGCAAGUCGAACGGAAAGGCCCUGCUUUUGUGGGGUGCUCGAGUGGCGAACGGGUGAGUAACACGUGAGUAACCUGCCCUCGACUUUGGGAUAACUUCAGGAAACUGGGGCUAAUACCGGAUAGGAGCUCCUGCUGCAUGGUGGGGGUCGGAAAGUUUCGGCGGUUGGGGAUGGACUCGAGGCUUAUCAGCUUGUUGGUGGGGUAGUGGCUUACCAAGGCUUUGAAGGGUAGCCGGCCUGAGAGGGUGACCGGCCACAGUGGGACUGAGAUACGGCCCAGACUCCUACGGGAGGCAGCAGUGGGGGAUAUUGCACAAUGGGCGGAAGCCUGAUGCAGCAACGCCGCGUGCGGGAUGGCGGCCUUCGGGUUGUAAACCGCUUUCGCCUGGGACGAAGCGUGAGUGACGGUAAUGGGUAAAGAAGCACCGGCUAACUACGUG
Molecule: ribosomal RNA, 468 nt
Filed under: uncultured bacterium
Lineage: Bacteria
Description: partial 16S ribosomal RNA
Rfam family: Bacterial small subunit ribosomal RNA
Source: RNAcentral